RNAcentral lists this transfer-messenger RNA (355 nucleotides) under Gammaproteobacteria bacterium. It matches the Rfam family "transfer-messenger RNA". From Rfam's summary of the family: Bacterial tmRNA, also known as 10Sa RNA or SsrA, is named for its dual tRNA and mRNA-like properties. Its role is to liberate the mRNA from a stalled ribosome. The record is from RNAcentral. Lineage: Bacteria; Pseudomonadati; Pseudomonadota; Gammaproteobacteria.
GGGGGCGACCGGUCUCGACGUGGGUAGCAAAACCCGAGGUGCAUGCCGAGGCGCAGCAUACCUCGUAAAUCCAGCUGCAACCAAGAUAGUUGCCAACGACGACAACUACGCUCUGGCUGCUUAAAGACGGCCAGCCUCUGACCGAGUCCGUGCUUGUGCGCUCAGCUCAGGGGUCGACUCACACAAGCUCGCGAUGAGGCUUGUCCGAAGCCGAUUCGCUAAAACCCAGCCGGACUCGCCACUCGCCGGCCCUGCCCGCCGGGCGGCGUGUGGUUAAACACAAAGACGGGCUAAGCAUGUAGAGCCAAGGGCGGAGUGCUCGCGGACGCGGGUUCGAUUCCCGCCGCCUCCACCA